AAUAUUCCUCGAUAUCAAAAAAAGGCACAAACCGCUAAUAAUAAUAACACAAGCUCCUGGAAACACAUUGUUAUACUCAUUCAUUACAGCUGCAGUGCUGGUGGUACUCAUUCAUUACAGCUGCAGUGGUGGUGGUACUCAUUCAUUACAGCUGCAGUGCUGGUUGUACUCAUUCAUUACAGCUGCAGUGCAGGUUGUACUCAUUCAUUACAGCUGCAGUGCAGGUUGUACUCAUUCAUUACAGCUGCAGUGCAGGUUGUACUCAUUCAUUACAGCUGCAGUGCUGGUUGUACUCAUUCAUUACAGCUGCAGUGCAGGUUGUACUCAUUCAUUACAGCUGCAGUGCUGGUUGUACUCAUUCAUUACAGCUGCAGUGCAGGUUGUACUCAUUCAUUACAGCUGCAGUGGUGGUGGUACUCAUUCAUUACAGCUGCAGUGCAGGUUGUACUCAUUCAUUACAGCUGCAGUGGUGGUGGUACUCAUUCAUUACAGCUGCAGUGCUGGUUGUACUCAUUCAUUACAGUGGUUGUACUCAUUCAUUACAGCUGCAGUGCUGGUUGUACUCAAUUAUUACAGCUGCAGUGUUGGUUGUACUCAUUCAUUACAGUGGUUGUACUCAUUCAUUACAGCUGCAGUGCUGGUUGUACUCAUUCAUUACAGCUGCAGUGGUGGUUGUACUCAUUCAUUACAGCUGCAGUGCUGGUUGUACUCAUUAAUUACAGCUGCAGUGCUGGUUGUACUCAUUCAUUACAGCUGCAGUGCUGGUUGUACUCAUUCAUUACAGCUGCAGUGCUGGUUGUACUCAUUCAUUACAGCUGCAGUGCAGGUUGUACUCAUUCAUUACAGCUGCAGUGCUGGUUGUACUCAUUCAUUACAGCUGCAGUGCUGGUUGUACUCAUUCAUACAGCUGCAGUGCUGGUUGUACUCAUUCAUUACAGCUGCAGUGCAGGUUGUACUCAUUCAUUACAGCUGCAGUGGUGGUUGUACUCAUUCAUUACAGCUGCAGUGCAGGUUGUACUCAUUCAUUACAGCUGCAGUGCAGGUUGUACUCAUUCAUUACAGCUGCAGUGCUGGUUGUACUCAUUCAUUACAGCUGCAGUGCAGGUUGUACUCAUUCAUUACAGCUGCAGUGCUGGUUGUACUCAUUCAUUACAGCUGCAGUGCUGGUUGUACUCAUUCAUUACAGCUGCAGUGCUGGUUGUACUCAUUCAUUACAGCUGCAGUGCUGGUUGUACUCAUUCAUUACAGCUACAGUGGUGGUUAUACUCAUUAAUUACAGCUGCAGUGCAGGUUGUACUCAUUCAUUACAGCUGCAGUGGUGGUUGUACUCAUUCAUUACAGCUGCAGUGCAGGUUGUACUCAAUCAUUACAGUGGUUGUACUCAUUCAUUACAGCUGCAUUGCUGGUUGUACUCGUUCAUUACAGUGA
RNAcentral lists this long non-coding RNA (1428 nucleotides) under Oncorhynchus mykiss (rainbow trout). RNAcentral describes it as "lncRNA (ENSOMYG00000072956.1)". The record is from RNAcentral. Lineage: Eukaryota; Metazoa; Chordata; Actinopteri; Salmoniformes; Salmonidae.